Molecule: long non-coding RNA, 545 nt
Organism: Heteronotia binoei (common prickly gecko)
Lineage: Eukaryota; Metazoa; Chordata; Lepidosauria; Squamata; Gekkonidae
Exons: 3
Source: RefSeq, a predicted model, not a curated record
AGCUUUUUCUCUCCGCCUUUCCUCUUUUCUGGAAGCUGCUGCCGCUGCUGCUCUCGCCUGGGCUGGGAAGCGCCGGCCGCGGUUUCCGCCCGCUGCUUUUCCCACCGCCUCCCCACUCCGGAACAUGGGCAGCCCAUUGGCCGGGGCUCCUGCGCGCCGCCUCGGGGGGCUGCUGGGCUGAGGCGCGGCCGCUGGGGAGGGAGCCGCGAGCAGAGACGACGGCCGCACACAAAGGGCGCCGCCAGACCAGCUUCCUCCUCCUCCUCGGGUCGUCUGAGUUGGAUACUUUCAGAGGAGCUAUCCAAGGCUAGAAUUUCCGGCCCCUGUAGGAGCUGAAGUCAGAAAUACCUGAAGAAAGAUGCUUACAUCUUCCCAUCUCCUCCAUUUUUAGAUGGGAGCAGUUUAUUGUAUUCGAAGAUGAUCUGCGGUAGAGUUGUGUUCCAGUUCUGAAAUACAAGGAUUAUCACAUGACUUUCACUUGCAGGUAAAAAGCAGAACGACAUCUGUGGAAACUUUUAGUGAAGUGAAGGAAGAACAAGUGAACG